Molecule: long non-coding RNA, 6481 nt
Filed under: Pavo cristatus (Indian peafowl)
Lineage: Eukaryota; Metazoa; Chordata; Aves; Galliformes; Phasianidae
Description: lncRNA (ENSPSTG00000010575.1)
Source: RNAcentral
CUGGGAGAGCCCUGAAGCCCCUGCUGCAUGCAUACUGCACCCUGCUGCANCUAUUGCUGUCCGCACAAUGUUCCCAUCCCAUCCCCAUUCCCAUCCCCAUCCCAAAAACUGUGCCCAUUCCAUCCCAUAUCCUCAUCCCCAUGCCCAAACCUGUGCCCAUUCCAUCCCAAACCCCAAACCUGUGCCCAUCCCCAUCUCCAUGCCCAAACCUAUGUGCAUCCCUACUCUUCCAUUCCAUCCCAUCCAAUCCCAUCCCUAAACUCGUGCCCAUCCCAUCCCCAUCCCUGCACCCAUCCCAUUUCUAUUCCAUCUCAUUCAAUCCCAUCCCCAAGUCUGUGCCCAUCCCAUCCCCAUCCCAUCUCAUCCCAUCCCCUCUUGUNCCCAUCCCCAAAUCUGUGCCCAUCCCAUCCCCAUCCUAUCUCAACCCAUCCCACCCCAUCCCCAUCCCCAAACCUGUGCCCAUACCACCCCACCCCGCACCUUGCCGUCGCUCUGCCUCUUGCCCAGCUUGGUCUCCUCGGGGUGGUAGAACCACUUCACCUUCACCACCAUGUUGCUGCCCCAGGACUCCCACAUGCUCUCGAUGCGCCCGAUGUAGGGCAGGUUGGGCCGCCCGGCCGACAGGAAGACGGCGCAGUCCCCGAUGCGCAGCGUCUCCUUGCCCCGCACGAUGGCCUUAUAGAACAGCUUCCGUGCCUUCCCCUUCAUGCCCCGCCGCUGCAAGGAGCUCACGGUCAGGGCUCUGCACACCCCGACCCCACGCAUCCCACAGCACGCUCCAUCCACCCUGCCCCUACGCACCCACACCAUGCUCACACCCAGCAUCCUGCACCCUGCAAUGCAUCUGCACACCUGCAGGCUGUGCUUCACGCCCCGUGCACUUGAAGCACCCAUGGAUCCUACCCACUGCACUCUGCUCCAUGCACCAUGGGCCUGCACACACACAAGACCGUGCCCCGUGUUCCAUGUGUUUGCUCAAAGCACUCUGCACCCACAGGUCCUACCCGUGCACCCUGUUCCACACACCACGCUCAUCCUGCUCCACGCACCUUGCAUCCUGCCAUGCCCCUCUGCACCUACAGAUCCCGCACCGUGCUCCAAGCACUCUGCUCUAUGCCCCCUGCAUCCAGACAUGCAUCCACACAUCCCGCACUCACUCACUCUCAGCCAGGCACCAAGCACACCGCACCACGCUCUCCGCACCCACACACCCUACGCCCUGCACCACGCUGCACUGUUCCACGCACCCUGCACGCUGCCACGCAGCUGCGCACCCCCAAUGCUGCUCUGAGCACGCUGCUCCACACACCACACACCCACACACCGUGCCCCACGCUGCACGCACUCACCCUGAGUGCCCCACUGCUCUGUGCCACCGGCGCCGCCCGUACCUGCGUGGGGUUCCCCGACCACCUCCAGAGCUGGCGUGCGGGCAGGAAGGCGGAGAUCUUUGGCCGGUUUUCCACCGAGGGCAGCCGCUGCCUCCGGGAGAACUCUUUGGCUUUGGAGAAGCUGAGGGCCUCCUUGCGCUUGAGCUUGGCCUUGGGGCCGGCGGCAGCCGCCUUGGUGAGGAAGCAGCGCUGCGGCGCGGAGCCUUUGGAGCGCAGAGCCUCGGGCUGCGCCAGCAGCGCCGGCACCGGGUGCGAGAGGCAGGUCUGCAGCAGCAGCGCCGAGUCCUCGUCCUCCGAGCUGUACGACGAGUCCUCGUUGUCGGAGGAGCAGAGGCUGGAGGUGGAGAUGGAGCCGGAGCUGGAGGAGGUGGAGGAGCCCGAGGAGGAGGAGGACACCGACAGGCGGGUCAUGAAGCGCGAGGGCACAUCGGCACCCAGCCCGCCCGCAUCCUCCUCCUCGUCCAUGUCCGAGUAGGAGCUGUGGCAGUCGCUGUCGCAGUUCAGGCUGAACUCGGCCUGACCCGAGUACUUCCGCAGCGCCAGCCCCACGGGCAGCGGGUGCACGGCCGCCCGCCCCUUCCUCUCCUUGCCCAGCGCCGAGUGCGCGUAGCCGCUGGCCAGCGGCCGCUCCAGCUUGGCCCCAAAGUCCUUCUCGCCCAGCAGCAGGGCCUUGCAGUUCUUGUUCUUGGGGGACGUCACCCCUUCGUGGUCCAGCUUCACCAGGAACUCGCCUCCAGCCCUGCGCCGGCUGCCUUUGCCCAUCUCAGUCUCCAGCCGCUCCGCCUUCUUGCAGCGCAGCAGCUUCUGUGCGGCCGGCAGCACCAGCCCGGCGCCGGCCCCGAAGGACGCGUAGGAGCUGGCGAUGCGGCUGAACGAGUCGGCCCCGAAGCCGUUGCCGAAGACGGGAGCGGCGACGUGGUGGUGCACGGGGAACAGCGCCUCCUUGGCACGCAGCUUCUUGGUGCUGCCGUUCACCUGGAAGAGGUUCUGCAGCACGGCCGUGCCUUUGCUCGCCGCCUUCCGCUUCGUCUGUGCCACCGCCGACCAGCUGAGCAGGGGGCCGCCCCGCCGCCCCAGCGGCUCACCCAGCGCCGGCGCACGGCUGCCCGACAGCAGCUCCAGGGCUUUGCCUGCGGGAGGACAGCGGUCACAGCCUCAGUUCCAUGCUGCAUCCCCUCCUCCUGCAUCCCUGCCUCUCCUCCCCACGCCUGCAUCUCUCCCUGCCUCCCCUCUCCCUGCCCGCAUCCCUGANAGGCGGGCGCGCACCCCCCGCUCACUCACUUGACCUUGCGGCUCUCGGCCCGGCCCAGCGUGCUGCAGUGCUUGCGCUUCCUCGGCCGCCCCGGCCCGCGCCGCGCCGGGCUCCGCGAGCUCUCGUCGCGCCUGCAGCCGCGGGGCGACACCGGGGGCAGCCUGAGCCGGGCUGAGUACGGCCGGAGCUCAGUGCACCGAUGAGCGCUGCCCGUGUGAUGCUCAGCGCGGCCCCCAACUCCCUGUGCUCGUGGGCGCCACCCCGAGUGAUGCCACGGGGCUGAGAACGGCCCCCAACUCAUCACACCGCUGAGCGCCAGCCGUGAUACCACCGGGCUGAGCGCAGCCCUGAGAACUCAUCGCACUGAUGAACGCUGCCCUUGCAACGUCGCCAGGCUGAGCACGGCCCCGAACUCAUCGCACCAGUGAGUGCUGUGCCUUGACGCCGCUGGGCUGAGCACUGCCUCGUAUUCGUUGCACCGGUGACAACCGUGCAGCCCCCAGUCCCAACCCCAGGGCUGCACCCCCCGCUGUGGGAUGGGGACCUACUCGUGGUCAUGCCGCCGCUGCAGCUUCACCAGCUCACGCUGCUUCUCCUUGUAGCGCCUCUGCAGCUCAGCCAGCCGCAUCCGCACCUCCACCUCCUGCGUGUUGAGCUGCUCGAUGGCCGCCUUCAGUGGGCACACCUGGGGACGGGGACAAGGCCGCUCACCCCGGGCACGGCUCACCCAGCACAGUGUGGUGGUGCGGGGUGGGGGGACGCUCGCUCACCGCCUUGGUUUUGGGGGUCCAGGUGUACUUGCGGCGUGGCACGCGGGCACGGGGUGGAGGGGAGGUGGGCAGGGGGCUGAGCGCCGGGGGGCUGCCCUCCCGGCUGGCCGCCUCCACCAGCGACCAGGCAGCUGCCACCGUGGCCAGGUUCUGUAGGUUGAAGGCCAGCAGGUCCUCGUCUUCCCCUGCAGAGAGCUGAGGUCAGUGGGGACACACCAGGACUCCCCUGUCCCAUCCCAGAGCACGCUGCGCUGGAGCGGCACUGACUCCACAUAUGGGGACAGCACCCGUGGGUGGGCGUGGGGAGCACUCUCAGAAGGUUUGGGGAUCCAGGGGCACACAGGGGUCUGUGGGGCAUGGGGUGCUGCAUGCACACACUGCCACAGUGCAUCCACAGAGCACGGGGAUGGCACAAAGGGCGCAGUGUGUCCCCAGGGUGCUGCGGGGAUGGGUGCAUGGCAGCGGCCAGCGAUGAACUCAUCGGUGCACAGAGCCAAGGCCGGGGUGGGGAGGGACGCAGUGAUGCACCCCAACCAGAGCCCCAUCUGUGGAAGGGGGCUCCGUGGGGGCUCCAUGGCCCCCACACAGGCUCACAGCCCUAUAGCAAGGCACAGCCAGCACCGAGCACACAGGGCCCCGCGGCCGCCCGCCCGCUGCAGAGGCGCUGGGGAGGUGCCAGGGCCUUCCCUGCAGGGGCCCCCGGGAUUCCCUGGGGAAGCCGAGCUGGGAGGGAAUCCCGGCGCCUGCCUGGAGCCAGCGCUGGAGCAGAGCCCCGAAGAUGGCCCUGGGCUGUGAGCAGGGCCCUGCUGUCGGGCACCGUGCUGCUGCUGCACACCGCGUGCAAAAGGCACGUGCAGCCCUGCACAGCACAGACAUGGUUCAAACACACACAAAGCCCUGAGCUGCAGAUACGUGGUGCAAGCAUGCAAAAAGCCCUGCGCUGCAAACGUACGGUGGAAGCAUGCACAACGGCCUGUGCUGCAAACAUACAAGUCAUGGACACGCAAGCUCUGCAGUGGAAACGCACAUGGUCCUGCUCUGCAAAUACGUGCACGGCGCUGCACUGAGAGCAUGCACAGCUCGUGCAUGCAGCGCUGUGCUGUGAAGGCACACAAAGCUCUGCACCGCCAGCACGGCACGCACAUGGCCCUGCACUGUGAAUGCACACUGUGAGUGUGCAUACAGCCCCUCCUCUGCUGCACAGCACGGCUCUGCCCAGCACAGCCCUGCACACACGCUGCAGCCCCUCCACUGCACGACCUCCGCGUUGCAUGCACUGCACAGAGCAUCCUUGGGGGGCACCGUGGGGCACAGCAAUGGGGAGGGGGCACAGCAAUGGGGAGGGGGGCCGCUCACCUUCCAUGGCCAAGUCACAGCGGCGUUGGCGCAGCUCCAGUUCGGCCAGCUCGCUGAGCAGCGCGAUGCCAGGCAGCCCCACAGCGCAGGGUGCAGGAGAAGGGGGUGCUGGGGGGGGCUCCCCGGGGGACCCCAGUGCUGGCAGCUCCCCCAGGUCAAUGCCGGCGGCAAUGAGAGCCUCCAGCCCUCCUGUGCAGCACUGCUGCCUGCUGGGUGCACGGUUGGAGCCAUCGUCCUCCUCCUCAUCACAGCUGCCCUCCGGCCCUGAGCCUUCGCUGUCACCUUCUUCCUCUUCUUCAUCCUCCUCCUCCUCCUCUUCCUCCUCGCCGUCCGGGGGGCCCAGCGGGGAGGAUCCCUCCGUGGGCACUGGGUGCUGCUGCUCUACAGAGCUCUGCUCCAACACCGCCGCCGUUUCCCUGCACACUCCAAAGUUCUCCUCUCCGGGCACAGCGCCCGGCGCCGCAGCCAGCAGCAGGUGGUGGCGGUGCAGCAUGGCACCCGGACCCUCGGCUGCAGCCCCCGUGGACGGCAGCUCCCGCGCAGCACUGGGCUCCUCAGCCGGGCUGAAGGUCCGUGACUGCUCGGGUUCAGCUGGCGGGGAGCCUGCCUGCAUGGUGUCGGGGUCGGCGGGCUCGGCAGGGGGCACCUCCGAGAAGCCCAUGCUGGACGCGGGGUAGCUGUACCCUGGGGGCAGGUCUGCAGGGAGCAAGUGAUGCUCAGCGUGAGCUCAGCGCCCAUCCCCACCUCCUCCUCCUCCUCCUCACUGCCACGCCCCUACCUGGCUCCAGGGACUUGGGGUAGUCACGGGGCGGCUGUCCCUCCCCACGCUUGUCCUCGCCGUCGCUGCCCUUGCUCUGCACGGGGACGGGGCUGUCAGCCGGGGAGCGCGGGGCCACGGCGGAGCUGGCGGUGGGGCAGACGGGUAAAGUGCAGGGGGCCGUGGGGAGCGCCACGGGGCACUUGGCCGGGUGCCGCAGGGCCGGGGAGUGGCAGCAAGGGGACAGCUUGGGGGGCCCAGGCGCCGCCGAGGACAUGCCCUUGGCCGGAGGGUUUAAGGCAACUGCUUUGUGAGAGGGCUUGAGGGGCUUCUCGGGACCCAUGUCCUCCAGCUCCAGGGGCUGCUCCUCCGGCUUGCGCUGCAGGGAAUGAGGUCAGCAUGUGUCCCUGCAACACAUCCAGCCCUGCAUCCCACCCAGCAGCAUCCCGCCGUCCCAGCCCCGCAUCCCAGCCCCACGUCCCACCCCAACGCAGCCCCCACACAUCCCCACGGCACCUGGACGUGAGCCUGGCGCUGGAUCUCGAGGGCCUGGGCCGCCCGCUGCUGCUGCAGGGCGUAGAGCUCCUGCUGCCGCAGGAACUGGGAGCGCGAGUACACAGGCAGCUGCCCCGUGUGCUGCAGGUGGGCGCCGGGACCCCGGCCUGGGUACAUGGGGGGCCACAGUGACGCCUGGUCCAUCACGUCAGCUGCAAGCAAUGGGGGGGGAGGAGGAGUCAACCGUGGACCCAAGAGAAGGUCAUCCUGCAGACCCUAAAGGUGCAUCCUCUCCCAUCCUGCACCCCCCAAAGGGACCCCCCAUCUCCCACUCUUGCACCACAGCUGCACCCACAUGGACUCCCCCACUGUCAAUCCCUGCACCCCUCCCAGCACAGAUGAGCACCUGGGAUGGGGUCAUCCUGCGGGCACUAAAGGCGCACUCCCAGAAUCCCAUCUC